This 202-nucleotide long non-coding RNA is filed under the name Homo sapiens (human). RNAcentral describes it as "non-protein coding lnc-IQCG-7:1". The record is from RNAcentral. Lineage: Eukaryota; Metazoa; Chordata; Mammalia; Primates; Hominidae.
UUAAAAGUAAUGAAACAACUACUUAAAAUGGCACACUAGAAAAAAAAACUUCCUACUAAGAUAGUUUUUCCAGAGAUGCAUUAAACCACAACCUGUUACUUCAUGACGUUCUACAGGCUGCCUAAAAAUCGCAGUUGCUGGAACAGUGAACUUGGGGAAGCCUAUUUCUCAAUUUAGUCUUCUGACUCAAUUAUUGACAAAU